ACAGUUCCUAGUUCAGUUGUACUUUGGACUUCGACGAGUGAACUUAGAAAAUUUCGUACUUUCGUGGAACUUUGACAAUCUAUCUCCUCGAGUGGACUUAGAAAUUUUCGCACUUUCGGGGGACUUAGAAAAUUUGUAUCCACGAAUGAACUUAGAAAUUUUCACACUUUCGAGGGACUUUGACAAUCUAUCUCAACGACUGGACUUAGAAAUUUUUGCAAAAUGCCAUUCGAGGAAUUAUUAACAAAGAGUCUACUCAAGUAUAUUUUCUAUCAUUCGUAUUUUCAUAAUUCUAUACUAUUUCUUUUGUUUUAGACUUAGAUUCUGCAAUUUCGGAGGACUUUGACAAUCUUCCGCCAUGAGUGGACUUAGAAAUUUUCACGCCUUCGAGAGACUUUGACAAUCUAUCUCCAAGUGUGGACUUAGAAAUUUUCGCACUUUCGGGGAACUUUAACCAUCUAUCACCACGAGUGGACUUAGAAAUUUUCGCAGAAUGCCAUUUGAGAGAAUAUUAACGAAAACUUAAAAACCUCGUUGCAAUCGCGCGCGUAGCAAUGAAGUAAUCGAGUGUUUGUACCGCUAAAAUAAAAAUAUCGCGAAGUAGAAGCAGUGUUUGUUCGUUCGCGUUUCGCGAUUUAAACCAAAAGUGUCUUUGCAUAGACUGCGCGCAAUGCAGUCGUUAGAGUCAGUGUUUGUUCGUAAAGUUAUUUGCUUUUUUAACAGUCGCACAGACUGUAUUUAUAAUAUAUGGUAGAGUUUCGCGAAAUAAAUUCAGUGAUCGUUCGUUAAUAAAUAACUACCGCGAAUUAGAGUCAGUGCAUCACCGAAGAGGAUCUCAACCAACGUCGAUGUCGACCUACCUCAUUUUCAACCAACUACGAAUCAUCCACCCUCAAUUUCGACCUAAAUCGCGGUCCAGUGUUUUGGAGCCAUCGCAGAACUUCUUAAGUAAUUAGAUCGAGGGAUCGGUCAUCGUUAAAAUUAAAUUUUUACAGGGAAGUAUUAAUUAUAUAUUUGUUUUUUGUUUCAUUGUAUUUAAUUAUUAAUUUAUUUUUUA
Long non-coding RNA from Vespula vulgaris, 1057 nucleotides. RefSeq lists it as uncharacterized. NCBI's taxonomy places the organism in Eukaryota, Metazoa, Arthropoda, Insecta, Hymenoptera, Vespidae. The record is from RefSeq and is a predicted model, not a curated record. The transcript is spliced from 3 exons.